This 463-nucleotide ribosomal RNA is filed under the name uncultured bacterium. RNAcentral's name for it is "SSU rRNA". It matches the Rfam family "Bacterial small subunit ribosomal RNA", at positions 26 to 523 of the family's 1533-position model. The record is from RNAcentral.
AGAAUCAACGCUGGCGGCGUGCCUAACACAUGCAAGUCGCACGAGAAAGUGGAGCAAUCCAUGAGUACAGUGGCGCACGGGUGAGUAACACGUGAAUCAUCUACCUCCGAGUGGGGAAUAACCUAGAGAAAUCUGGGCUAAUACCGCAUAACACUUACGAGUCAAAGCAGCAAUGCGCUUGGAGAGGAGUUCGCGGCCGAUUAGCUAGUUGGCGGGGUAAUGGCCACCAAGGCGAUGAUCGGUAUCCGGCCUGAGAGGGCGCACGGACACACUGGAACUGAAACACGGUCCAGACUCCUACGGAGGCAGCAGUGGGGAAUUUUGCGCAAUGGGGGAAACCCUGACGCAGCAACGCCGCGUGGAGGAUGAAAUCCCUUGGGAUGUAAACUCCUUUCGAUAGGGAAGAUAAUGACGGUACCUAUAGAAGAAGCCCGGACUAACUUCGUGCCAGCAGCCGCGGUAA